Molecule: ribosomal RNA, 253 nt
Filed under: uncultured bacterium
Lineage: Bacteria
Description: partial 16S ribosomal RNA
Rfam family: Bacterial small subunit ribosomal RNA
Source: RNAcentral
UACGUAGGGGGCGAGCGUUAUCCGGAUUCAUUGGGUGUAAAGGGAGCGUAGACGGUAAUGUAAGUCUGGAGUGAAAGGCGGGGGCCCAACCCCCGGACUGCUCUGGAAACUAUGUUACUAGAGUGCAGGAGAGGUAAGCGGAAUUCCUAGUGUAGCGGUGAAAUGCGUAGAUAUUAGGAGGAACACCAGUGGCGAAGGCGGCUUACUGGACUGUAACUGACGUUGAGGCUCGAAAGCGUGGGGAGCAAACAGG